RNAcentral lists this long non-coding RNA (6117 nucleotides) under Sus scrofa (pig). Its description in RNAcentral is "lncRNA (ENSSSCG00060050447.1)". The record is from RNAcentral. Lineage: Eukaryota; Metazoa; Chordata; Mammalia; Artiodactyla; Suidae.
UUUUUUUUUUUUCACAUUAUCCUGCUCCAUCAUAAGUGACUAGAUGUAGUUCCCAAUGGUAAAUCAUUUUUAUAAGCCAGGUGAAGGAGCUGGGUUUCAAGGUAAGUGAUCAGCUCAUGCACAAUUCUCUGAUUGGCCAAUGCUGAGGUAACAGGGCAGAAUCAUAAGGGUUAACUUUUUUUUUUUGCUUUUUAGGGCCACAUCCAUGGCAAAUGGAGAUUCCCAGGCUAGGGGUCAAAUCAGAGCUACGGCUGCCAGCCUACACCACAGCCACAGCAACGCAGGAGACAAGCCACAUCUGCGACCUACACCAUAGCUCAUGGUAUCGCCAGAUCCUUAACCCACUGAGCAGAGCCAGGGAUUGAACCCUUGUCCUCAUGGAUACUAGUCUGGUUCAUUACCACUGAGCCACAAGGGAAACUCCAGCCCUUAGUUGGUGUGGUUCAUGCACCUCUCAGCCAAGAUGGAUUCCAGCACCAAGGAUCCUGGGAGGUUUGUCAUCUCUUCCCUCCAAUUGGCCCCUCCCAAAUCGUACCUGUUAGCCUUCAGGGCAGCACCAUGUUCCUUACUGAGGGCUCCUGUUGUGAGACAACUCAUGCAAGAGGCUAUUAUGGUACCUAGCCAAGGUGGGCAGUUUCAGUCAGUGGUCUCCUAACACACCCAGAGCCCUUCCCUCCAGCCCAUUCUCACAGCCACCAAAAUAAACAUGCUGACACCCAAACCCAAUCGUACAAUCUUCUGUUUUAAAAUCCUCCAAUGGGAGUUCCUGUUGUGGCUCAGCAGGUUAAGUCCCCAACAUUGUCUCUGUGAGGAUGUGGGUUUGAUCCCUGGCCUCUGUUAGGAGGUUAAGUCUCUGGAGUUGCCACAAGGUGCAGUGCAGAAGAUGCAGCUCAGAUCUGGUGCUGUGGUGGCUGUGGCAUAGACCCCUGGCCCAGGAACAUCCAUAUGCUGCAGGUGUGUCCAUAAAAAGAAAAAAUAAUAAAAUAAAAUAAAAUCCUCCGAUGAUGCUCCAUAACCGAAUUGGAUACACCUGACAGGUCAUAUUCACAAAAGCAAGACCCUCUUUACAUAUAGGAUGGGGGAGGGAGGAGUAUAAUUCCCAGCACACUAAUCCUUCUUUCUCUCUGAGUCAAAGACGCUCAUUCAUAUGCAAGUACAAGAGAGUGCCACUAUUAAGUGUUGGGCUUCAAGGCCCCUUCAAGGAGAUUGAACUCAAAGCCUCUGGCCAAGGCAAGAACUACCAGACUCUUAUCAUCGCCCCACCCAUCGCAUUGUAAUGUGUCCCUCCCCCACCCUGAGCAUCCAGGCCUACUCCUUCCUGCCCCUACUAGGAGAGGUAUGUGGCCCACUCCUCACCCCACCCCUAUCUGGGCCUUAUAUGCCCCCAACCAAGCAGCAAGUGCUGGUAAGGCCCCUCUUCCCCGAACAAUCAGCAGGUCAGCAGAUAUAUCUCAAGACCUCCCUUCUCCCUGGGCUGUAAAAACAGACAUGACCAUGAGCUCAUUGUUGGCUCUCCCUGAGUACCAGGAAGUCAUCCCGCUGCACUUGCAGCAUCUCUUAUCUCAGUCAACUCGACUUUCUCUCCACCUUGCCCGUGCUCAAUAAACUAUCCUUCCUUUUCCUGAUAUGAGUCUGGAAAUUCUUCUUCCAACCCACGUGCACAGACCACAACAUUAUGGACCUAUGUCUGCAUUUAUUCUGUUUUUACUAAAUAAGUUGCUAGGAAGGUUCUUUCCAGGAACCAUUACACUAAUAAAAUGUUUCCCAGUGGGAUGCUGUGAACUGAGGCUGUGACUUUAAACCUGGUAGGUGCUCAGUAAAUGUAGGUUGAAUAAAUAAAGGCAUGAACAACCAGAAAAGGGAGAAGAUGAAGUAUAGUGGGCUACCAGAGAUGGAGGGACAUCCUGGAUUUAUGAAGGGCCCAAUGAUGUCAGGGGCUGUGCUUGCAGAACCAAAGGAAUCCAGACUCAGGAUGACAUUUCCUAAACUGCAGUCACUCAAGAACCACCAUCUCUAGUUUGUGUGUGUGUGUGUGUGUGUGUGUGUGUGUGUAGUCUUACCUAUACUAUUAUUUACUUCAUAGAUUUAUAUUAAAGUAACUCUCAUUUCUAAAAAAAAUUAAAUACAUUUAUUGAAAAUGGAAGCUUUGUAACACUCCCAUAAAUGGAAAACCAAUAUCAUUUGUCAUAAGUUGUAGGCAACCAUAAAACAUAAAUACAAUGAAGACUUCCCUCCAAAUCAAAUAUUAACUAGAAUUCUCUGCUGAAAGCUCUAUGCCAUGAGGUCUGCUCUCUCUUUAUUAAAAUAAAAGGGAGGGGUGGAAAAGCGUCAGAGACAUACUGGUAUCAAACUGAGAUAUUCUCCUUUGUGUGAUCAGGUUAAAAGAGAACCAAAAUAGGGCUGAGAGUUUUACUUCAAAACACAUCCCUGGGGAGUUUCCACAGUAACAAAUCCAACUAGUAUACAUGAGGACUCAGGUCGGAUCCCUGGACUUGCUCAGUGGGCUAAGGAUCUGGUGUUGUCAUGAGCUGUGGUAUAGGCUGCAGAAGCACCUCGGAUCUGACAUUGCUGUGGCUGUGGCUGUGGCUGUGGCCAGCAGCUAUAGCUCCAAUUUCACCACUAGCCUGGGAACUACAUAUGCCGCUGGUGCGGCCCUAAAAAGACAAAACAUAUCCUUGGAGUUCCCUGGCAGCUCAGCAGGUUAAAGAUGCAGCAUCAUCACUGCUGUGGCUCAAGUUGCUGCUGUGGCACAGGUUCAGUCCCUGGCCCAGGAACUUCCGAAUGCUGCAGGUACGGCCAAAAAAAAAAAAAAAAAAAAAAAAAACACAUCGCAGCUCUUCCCUUCUCCACCAUCCUAUGUGCGGUUGAAUUAGUUCCUCACCAUGUCUUCUCACAAGACUUUCAGGAUCAGGAGAUUCCUAGGCAAGAAGCAAAAGCAGAAUCGUCCCAUCCCCCAAUGGCUUCAAAUGAAAACUGGUAAUAAAAUCAGGUACAACUCGAAGAGAAGACGUUGGAGAAGAGCCAAGCUGAGUCUAUAAGGAGCUUCCGCACAUGAGGUGGCGCCUGUAUUUAUGCUAUGUAGGGUCACUUCCAUAUCAAACUGAAAACAGCACAGCCACAUUUGGAUAUAUCGGGAAAUGGGUUCUCUUUAUGUUGUUGUCUCUUUAUAGCACUUUGCCUCUACUGAGGCAAAUAUGUGAAGGCCUCUUGUUGAAAAACAAAAACAGGAAAACAUCCCAGACAAGAUUCCUUCUUAACAAAGCACGGAUACCACGUUCGUGGAAGUCACCAUCGCCCCUCUCCUAGCUCUCUAUGGCUCAAAGUGUUACCAAAUCAGCAUCCUAGCCUGGGCUGAGACCCCUUGUCUCUGCCAAAGAGAUCUUUUUCUGCUUGGAUUCACACAACCAGCGAGGAAACUGAUGCUGAGACUGGAAGAGCACAAGCUUUAUUCAAUGGCCAAAGAAUAGAGAAGCAAGAAACUAGUUUGCAAAUCAACACCCCCAAUUCUGGUGGAGACACCGCAUAUAUAAGAAGGUCAAGGUAAAAGGGAGGGAGUUGGAAAGAGGUUAGAACGACUUAUCUAAAAACAGGUUUGGACCCAGUGCUGCUGUAACUCCUUUUCAGUCCUUGUACAGGCUUUCCCUGUUGUUGUCAUGGCAACUGGCACCUGUGGGUGUGUCAUUUAACAUAUUCUAAUGUAUUACAAUAAGCACAUAAUAGGCUCGAGGUCCACCAGAAAUUAAAUCUUCCACCAUGUUGGACCAAGUUGGUUCUAACCAGCAGCAUAUGGAAGUUCUUAGGCUAGGGGCUGAAUCAGAGCUACAGCUGCCAGCCUACACCACAGCCACAGCAACACAGGGUUCGAGCUGCAUCUGUGACUUACACUACAGCUCAUGGCAACGCCGGAUCCUUAACCCACCGAUCGAGGUCAGAGAUCCAACACUCAUCCUCACAGAUUCUAGUCGGAUUCAUUUCUGUUGAGCCACCACAGGAACUCCCCGGUUCUAACCAUUCUUGUUUAUCUCUUUGUGGCUUCAUCCUGACACUUAGAUCAGAGCAAUUUUAUUUCCAGUCAAGAAAGUGGCACGGGUGUGAUUCUGGGGCAACAGCCUUGAUAAUCAAAGCCAUCUUCCUAAAUGCACAAAUCACAUCACUUCAUUUCCCAGUUUAAACCUCCAAAGACUUCCACGGGGCUUAGCAUAAAAUCCAAAGGUCAUUUUCCUGCCAAGGUCAGAGGCUAAUCCCUACCUCCCCCUCUGAAACCUAACUCCUACCACUUUUCCAGCUGGGGCUAUGCUUCUGCAAAUCCUAGCACAUGCCUGCCUCAGGGUCUUUGCAUGUUCUCUUCUCUCUGCCUGGAAAGCUACUCUGCCAACAUGGCUGCAGUUCACGCCCUCGCUUCAUUCGGUCCCCACUUAAAUGCUACCUUCUUAGACAGUUACCACCAAAAGGCUGCCCUUCUUCUGAUGACCAAUUCAUACAAGGUUGCCUGGGACUGUCCCAGUUUUAAAACAAAAUCUCCCAUGCUGGGAACCCAUUUCGGUCGCCAGCAAAAUGGACCAGCUGUUCAGCCUACAGUCCCCAUCACUCCCUCCCACAGGACGCUGCUUUUCCUUCUUACCAUCUCACAUGUUCAUAUCUUUGCUUUUUCGUUUUCUUUCUCCUUCACUAGACCCCAAUGAGGACAAGGAGUUUGGGGCAUUUUAUUGAUGGCUAUAUUCCUGGCCCCUGGAAUGGUGCCUGGCACACAACUGGCAUUUAAGAUUAUUUGAGAAAAAUAUCAAAAGAAGGACCCUUGUGAUUUUUUGGGGCAUGGGGAGCAGGGAAGUUCCUGGGCUAGGGGUUGAAUCUCUGCCACAACCACAGCCAGGCCAGACCUGAGCCUCGGCUGCAACCUACGCCACAGCUUGUGGCAACACUGGAUCCUUAACCCACUGGAGCAAGGCCAGGGAUCAAACCCACAUCCUCAUGGAUCCUGGUCAGGUUCUUAACCCACUGAGCCACAAUGGGAAUGCUGCUCAUGGUUUAUUUAAUCUCUUGCUUAGAGUUUAGUUGCCUCCCCUGUUUGGCUGCAAUGAACAAAGCUUUCUCCAUAUUUAGAUUAAUAUCCUUGGGUUAGGUUACUGGAAGGGGAUUUAUUGAGCCAAUGAGAAUGUCCCUUUUAAGGUUUUGAUACCCAGUGCCAAAUUGUUUUCCAAAAGGGAUCAGACCCCCAAUUCUCAUUGCAGCCAUGGUUCCCUUAUCUACCUCACUCCACUCUGGCCAAAGCCAGCAUUAUCAUUGUUAAAAUCCUUCCUGGGUGGAAAUGUAGCAGUGUGUUGUUUUAAUUUGCAUUUCUUUGAUUACUAGGUAGGCUGAUCAUUUCCCUGUGUGCUUAGCUAAUUGCAUUUCAUCUUUUUGAAUUGUCUGUUCACGCCCCCUUUGCUUGUUUUUCUACCCGGUUUCAGGACUUGGAUUGUUGAUUUGUUGGAGUUCUUCAAAAAGGAAAGAUAUUAGCCCUUUCCCCCUCAUAUAUUAAAGCCUUGAUUCUUUGCAUUUUCUGACCCCUGCAUUCAGUUUGUCCCUUUCUUGUUUCCUUAUUCCCUUUUUUCACAUGUUCACAUCCCUUUUUGCAUGUCUUUUUACUUGGUUUUACUUUUUUUCCCCUAGUAAUUUUUUUUUUUUUUUUUUUUUUUUUGCUUUUUUUAGGGCUAUGCCCAUGACACAUGGAAGUUCCCAGGCUAGGGGUCAGAUCAGAGCUACAGCUGCUGGCCUACACCACAGCCACAGCAACGCAGGAUCCGAGCUGUGUCUGCAACCUACACCACAGCCUACGGCAAUGCCAGAUCCUUAACCCCCUGAGUGAGGCCAGGGAUCGAACCCGAAUCGUUAUGGAUACUAGUCAGGUUCUUAACCCCCUGAGUCACAACAGGAACUCCCAAUAGUCCAUUAUUGAAUAUAUGCUUUUUUCUUUUCGGCCACACCCACAGUAUGUGAAGUUCCCAGCCAGGGAUUGAACGCUGGACCCUUAACACACUGAGCUACCAGGGAAGACACAUUUUUUAAAAAUCGAAGCAAGGCCAUCCAAGAUCUGUCUUCACACCCCUGUAUCACCGCUCUGACCUUAGUUCCUACUCU